RNAcentral lists this small RNA (762 nucleotides) under Pongo abelii (Sumatran orangutan). Its description in RNAcentral is "processed transcript". Lineage: Eukaryota; Metazoa; Chordata; Mammalia; Primates; Hominidae. The record is from RNAcentral.
ACUUUUCUCGCGCUGGUCUCUUCGGCGCUCAGGGAUGGCGCGGAAGUCGAACUUGCCUGUGUUUCUCGUGCUGUUUCUGCUCUGCCAGGCCCUAGUGCGCUGCUCCAGCCCUCUGCCCCUGGUCCUCAACACUUGGCCUUUUAAGAAUGCAACCGAAGCAGCGUGGAGGGCAUUAGCAUCUGGAGGCUCUGCCCUGGAUGCAGUGGAGAGCGGCUGUGCCAUGUGUGAGAGAGAGCAGUGUGACGGCUCUGUAGGCUUUGGAGGAAGUCCUGAUGAACUUGGAGAAACCACACUAGAUGCCAUGAUCAUGGAUGGCACUACUAUGGAUGUAGGAGCAGUAGGAGAUCUUAGACGAAUUAAAAAUGCUAUUGGUGUGGCACGGAAAGUACUGGAACAUACAACACACACACUUUUAGUAGGAGAGUCAGCCACCAAAUUUGCUGAGAGUAUGGGGUUUAUCAAUGAAGACUUAUCUACCAGUGUUUCUGAAGCUCUUCAUUCAGAUUGGCUUGCUCGGAAUUGCCAGCCAAAUUAUUGGAGGAAUGUUAUACCAGAUCCCUCAAAAUACUGCGGACCCUACAAACCACCUGGUAUCUUAAAGCAGGAUAUUCCUAUCCAUAAAGAAACAGAAGAUGAUCGUGCUCAUGACACUAUUGCCGUGUAGGAGACUCACCAAUACCUGGAGCUGGAGCCUAUGCUGACGAUACUGCAGGGGCAGCCGCAGCCACUGGGAAUGGUGAUAUAUUGAUGCGCUUCCUACCA